UAAGUAAAGUGGCGCACGGGUGAGUAACACGUGGAUAAUCUGCCUUUUUGUGGGGGAUAACCUGGGGAAACCUGGGCUAAUACCGCAUAAGCUCGAGAGAGGAAAGCCGCAAGGCGCAGGAAGAGGAGUCCGCGGUCGAUUAGCUAGUUGGUAGGGUAAAAGCCUACCAAGGCCACGAUCGAUAGCCGGCCUGAGAGGGCACACGGCCACACUGGCACUGAAACACGGGCCAG
RNAcentral lists this ribosomal RNA (233 nucleotides) under uncultured bacterium. RNAcentral's name for it is "partial 16S ribosomal RNA". It matches the Rfam family "Bacterial small subunit ribosomal RNA", at positions 87 to 334 of the family's 1533-position model. The record is from RNAcentral.